Crotalus tigris (Tiger rattlesnake) is the source of this 325-nucleotide long non-coding RNA. RefSeq lists it as uncharacterized. Lineage: Eukaryota; Metazoa; Chordata; Lepidosauria; Squamata; Viperidae. The record is from RefSeq and is a predicted model, not a curated record. The transcript is spliced from 3 exons.
UAUAAGUUAGAUUCACAUUCUGAUCGGCUGGAACAAAAACUUGAGUUCAUGGGCCCAGCGGAGAAUUUAAACUCUGAUUUUAACUGAUGAAGAUCUAGUGACUGCUGAACAGUCUCGGCCAGUUGAAGUCUCUAAGGAGAUCAAUCUGUCAAGUAAAACAAUAAAAUCGAAACUGGUCUGAUCAAGCAGGGGCAAGAUUUUUCCACCUCUCAUUCAUGCCUCCACUACAUGGUAAUGUGUUGGGAGAGCACCAUCAGAAUCCAUAAGCCCCCAUGCUGGAUGGGGAAUUCUGAAAGCUGCUAUCACAAAUGGUGUAGGAGAAGAG